AGAGCGAACGCUGGCGGCAGGCCUAACACAUGCAAGUCGAACGGACCCUUCGGGGUUAGUGGCGGACGGGUGAGUAACACGUGGGAACGUGCCUUUAGGUUCGGAAUAGCUCCUGGAAACGGGUGGUAAUGCCGAAUGUGCCCUUCGGGGGAAAGAUUUAUCGCCUUUAGAGCGGCCCGCGUCUGAUUAGCUUGUUGGUGAGGUAAUGGCUCACCAAGGCUACGAUCAGUAGCUGGUCUGAGAGGAUGACCAGCCACAUUGGGACUGAGACACGGCCCAAACUCCUACGGGAGCAGCAGUGGGGAAUCUUGCGCAAUGGGACGAAAGCCUGACGCAGCCAU
RNAcentral lists this ribosomal RNA (341 nucleotides) under uncultured soil bacterium. RNAcentral describes it as "bacterial SSU rRNA". It matches the Rfam family "Bacterial small subunit ribosomal RNA", at positions 26 to 395 of the family's 1533-position model. The record is from RNAcentral.